Molecule: long non-coding RNA, 829 nt
Filed under: Mytilus galloprovincialis (Mediterranean mussel)
Lineage: Eukaryota; Metazoa; Mollusca; Bivalvia; Mytilida; Mytilidae
Source: RNAcentral
UAUUAAAAUUUAUUUCUUUAAAUAUUUUACCUCAUUUUACCUUCAUUAUAUAUCCCUGUUGUUCGAAGAAAUUGCUCCGCAAUUUUACAUUUGAAUUUAUUUCUUUCAAACUUGUUUAAAUUUUAAAAACUUUUUUUUUAAUAUUCUCUUAACUGGAUUUGACUAUUUGACUUUGUGGCUUAUGAUCAGUUUAUAUUAGAUGUUUUGGUUAUACAAGUUGUUAUGACCAAGAUGACUUAUUGCGUUUUAGAUAUUCUUAUUUUUCUUAUUAUAAAAACAAUUUUAUUCUUUAAUAUUUUACAUUUUUCGAUCUCUUCAUCUUUAUAGUAAGAGCGUUGGUGUUUUUUUUUAUUAUUAUCAUUAUUAUUAUUAUCGUUUCUCUAUUUCUUAUAUAUGUGGUAAGCCCGCUUUUCUUGGUAGUCUGCUCGAACUCCAAAUAUACCCGAGUCAUUUCCUCUCUCUGGAGUAUGCUCAUUUUCCUGGGUACUUUGCUCCGACUCCAGAACUACCGCAAGUCAUACCCUCAUUUUCUUUUAUAUUUCUUUAGUCGGAUUUGUUGUUUGUUUUACAAUGGAUAGUUUUCUAAAACAUUUGAUUACAGUUAAGAUUUUACAUUAUGGUUAAUGAUUUGCUUAUGCUAGAAUACAUUAUGUUUGCUUUAAUCAAGGUUUUACAUGAUGACUAGCUAGGUCAACACAUUUAGCACUUAAUUAAUUAGGACGUCAACUAUUAAUUCUUAUGAUUAAACUAACAUUAAAUUCUUACAUACGGGAACCUUAAAACAUAUGUUUUACUCAACAUUUUAUCGUAAUCGCUAUAGAACCAUUCA